GAAGGAGACACAGGUAUUCCCCUAGUAACGGCGAGUGAAGCGGCAACAGCUCAAAUUUGAAAUCUGGCCCUUGGGUCCGAGUUGUAAUUUAGGGUGAGAGCCCCGUACGGUUGGCCACCAAGCCUGUGUAAAGCUCCUUCGACGAGUCGAGUAGUUUGGGAAUGCUGCUCAAAAUGGGAGGUAUAUUUCUUCUAAAGCUAAAUACUGGCCAGAGACCGAUAGCGCACAAGUAGAGUGAUCGAAAGAUGAAAAGCACUUUGAAAAGAGGGUUAAAUAGCACGUGAAAUUGUUGAAAGGGAAGCGCUUAUGACCAGACUUUUUCUGGGGGGAUCAUCCGGUGUUCUCACCGGUGCACUUCCCCCAGUGGAGGCCAGCAUCGGUUUCUGCCGGGGGAUAAAAGCUUCGGGAAUGUGGCUCCUUCGGGAGUGUUAUAGCCCGUUGCAUAAUACCCUGGCGGGGACCGAGGUUCGCGCAUUGCAAGGAUGCUGGCGUAAUGGUUAUUAAUCACCCGUCUUGAAACACGGACCAAGGAGUCGAACAUUUGUGCGAGUGUUUGGGUGUUAAACCCUCACGCGUAAUGAAAGUGAACGGAGGUGAGAGCCCCUCGGGGUGCAUCAUCGACCGAUCCUGAUGUCUUCGGAUGGAUUUGAGUAAGAGCAUAACUGUUCGGACCCGAAAGAUGGUGAACUAUGCGUGGAUAGGGUGAAGCCAGAGGAAACUCUGGUGGAGGCUCGCAGCGGUUCUGACGUGCAAAUCGAUCGUCAAAUCUGCGCAUGGGGGCGAAA
RNAcentral lists this ribosomal RNA (785 nucleotides) under Pleurophragmium subfusiforme. Its description in RNAcentral is "eukaryotic LSU rRNA". It matches the Rfam family "Eukaryotic large subunit ribosomal RNA", at positions 56 to 928 of the family's 3401-position model. Lineage: Eukaryota; Fungi; Ascomycota; Sordariomycetes. The record is from RNAcentral.